RNAcentral lists this ribosomal RNA (360 nucleotides) under uncultured bacterium. Its description in RNAcentral is "bacterial SSU rRNA". It matches the Rfam family "Bacterial small subunit ribosomal RNA", at positions 29 to 416 of the family's 1533-position model. The record is from RNAcentral.
AACGAACGCUGGCGGCAUGCCUAACACAUGCAAGUCGAACGAGACCUUCGGGUCUAGUGGCGCACGGGUGCGUAACGCGUGGGAAUCUGCCCUUAGGUUCGGAAUAACUCAGGGAAACUUGAGCUAAUACCGGAUAAUGACUUCGGUCCAAAGAUUUAUCGCCUAGGGAUGAGCCCGCGUCGGAUUAGCUAGUUGGUGAGGUAAAAGCUCACCAAGGCGACGAUCCGUAGCUGGCUGAGAGGAUGAUCAGCCACACUGGGACUGAGACACGGCCCAGACUCCUACGGGAGGCAGCAGUGGGGAAUUUUGGACAAUGGGGGCGAACCCUGAUCCAGCCAUGCCGCGUGUGUGAAGAAGGCC